This 899-nucleotide ribosomal RNA is filed under the name uncultured bacterium. RNAcentral describes it as "bacterial SSU rRNA". It matches the Rfam family "Bacterial small subunit ribosomal RNA", at positions 505 to 1398 of the family's 1533-position model. The record is from RNAcentral.
GUGCCAGCCGCCGCGGUAAGACGAAUGGUGCAAGCGUUGUUCGGAAUCACUGGGCAUAAAGAGCACGUAGGCGGUGGCAUAAGUCAGCUGUGAAAUCCCUCGGCUCAACCGAGGAACUGCAUCUGAAACUGUGCCGCUAGAGUGUGGGAGGGGAGAGCGGAAUUCCUGGUGGAGCGGUGAAAUGCGUAGAUAUCAGGAGGAACGCCGGAGGCGAAAGCGGCUCUCUGGUCCACUACUGACGCUAAGGUGCGAAAGCUAGGGGAGCAAACAGGAUUAGAUACCCUGGUAGUCCUAGCCGUAAACGAUGGGCACUAAGUAGAGGAACUCCGAAGGUUUCUCUGCCGGAGCUAAUGUGUUAAGUGCCCCGCCUGGGGAGUAUGGUCGCAAGGCUAAAACUCAAAGGAAUUGACGGGGGCUCACACAAGCGGUGGAGCAUGUUGUUUAAUUCGAUGCAACGCGAAGAACCUUACCUGGGCUUGACAUGUAGGUGGUACCAAUCCGAAAGGGGAGGGACCCUCUUUGAGGGAGCCUACACAGGUAUUGCAUGGCUGUCGUCAGCUCGUGUCGUGAGAUGUUGGGUUAAGUCCCGUAACGAGCGAAACCCUUGUCCUUAGUUGCCAGCGGGUCAUGCCGGGGACUUUAAGGAGACUGCCGGUGUUAAACCGGAGGAAGGCGGGGAUGACGUCAAGUCAUCAUGGUCCUUACGCCCAGGGCGACAAACGUGCUACAAUGACUGGUACAAAGGGAAGCCAAGCCGCGAGGUGGAGCAAAUCCCAAAAAGCCAGUCUCAGUUCGGAUUGGAGGCUGAAAUUCGCCUCCAUGAAGUCGGAAUCGCUAGUAAUCGCGGAUCAGCCAUGCCGCGGUGAAUGUGUUCCUGAGCCUUGCACACACCGCCCGUC